Long non-coding RNA from Haliotis rufescens (red abalone), 1503 nucleotides. RefSeq lists it as uncharacterized. The record is from RefSeq and is a predicted model, not a curated record. Lineage: Eukaryota; Metazoa; Mollusca; Gastropoda; Lepetellida; Haliotidae. The transcript has 3 exons.
CCGCUUUUCAGUCAAAGGACCGGUAUCGCCCACCAUGACACAUCGUCUGCUACAACAAGAUGGCGGCUGUCAAAAUGCAUUGGGCGAAGCUAGUGAGCUCUGGAAAAUUGUAGUUUUCCAAGUAAUGGAGAUUAACAGCUGAUGUCGCGUAAGGCCAUAGACUGUUUCCCGGAUCCUCUGCUUGGUGUCGCUGCUCUUGCUCUGCUUUCCAAGGAAUUAAAGGACCGUUAUCGCCCACCAUAAAACAUGGUCUGCUUAAACAAGAUGGCGGCUGACAAAACACAUUGGGCAAGGCUUGAGAGCCUUGAAAUAUUGUAGUUUUCGCAGUAAUAGUGGAACCAUGCUAUAAUGGGAGAUGGACUAGAGAUGAGGAGAACUUUUUGACAGUUUGUGGAGAGCAGGGGGGUGGAAAAUAUCAAAUACAAAGAGUGGAAGGACUGUGCCGAAGACCAGAGAAAUGGGUGUACAGACUGAUGUAACUUUUGGGCCUAUGAUUGAAGUGACCUGGGCAUGUAGCAGUCAUGCACUUUAUACCACUCAUUCGCAUUCCUUAAUUAGAUCUAUGUUAUCAAAUGUAUCAGUCAGUGAACCAGCCUCACCCGCCAUACGCUCACAGACCUGCCAUGUCUCUGACAUACCGUCAACCGAUGCCACUUCUCCGUUGGUGCCCGAACAAAACUACUCACAACCACUUACAGUCAGUGAACCAGCCUCACCUGCUAUAUGCUCACAGACCAGCCAUGUCUCUGACAUACCGUCAACUGAUGCCACUUCUACGUUGGUGCCUAAACAAAACUGCUUGCAACCACUUACAGUCAGUGAACCAGCCUCACCAGUUGUCUGUUGUUCAAUUAUGCUUGAGCAUAACUAAGCAAAUCAAAAGAGAACCCAAAUCUUAUCAAAGAAAAAGAUUAAAAGGCAGAAAAAAAUAAUUUUAAUUGGCAGAAUUUCUUACCCACCAAUCAAGAAAUGUUCCUGGAAGAGUAUCUUUGACUCAUCUGGUCAAACUGGUAUUCAUGUACAACAAAAUGAAUAAAUGCUCAAUUAUCGCAUUAAGAGAUUUCUUUGCCAUUUGGCAUGGAUACUUUCACAAGUUCAGGAAAAAGCUGAGAUGGGUUAUCAAUUUGCAAAUGUUUGUUAAUGAGGUUACUGUUCACUGGUUGUAUAUUUUCACCAUAUAUUUGGGGCCAUUCAAAUUGGAUUGUGUGAUAUUAAUUCUAUGAUCAUGUUGUACUGUUGUUUUGUGCAGUAUCGAAGAAAGAUAUUUCAGUGUUAUAACUAUUUAUUCUUGUAACUAAUAUCAAUCCCAGCUGUAUUUCGUGGCAAAAACAUACCUAUUCUGUGACUACAAUUUCACUUUCACAAUUGUUUUUAGUGACAAUGUUGAUUGAUGAUCACUAGUGUAAACAUACAGACAUAAGCAAUAAUACAUAAUUCAUAUUUACUGUGAAACAAAAUCAGGAUAUUGAGUUUAUGUUACCAUUUCUCAAACGAAAAAUGUUU